CCUACGGGGGGCAGCAGUGAGGAAUAUUGGUCAAUGGACGGAAGUCUGAACCAGCCAUGCCGCGUGCAGGAAGACGGCUCUAUGAGUUGUAAACUGCUUUUGUACAAGGGUAAACCUGAAUACGUGUAUUCAGCUGAAAGUACUGUACGAAUAAGGAUCGGCUAACUCCGUGCCAGCAGCCGCGGUAAUACGGAGGAUCCAAGCGUUAUCCGGAUUUAUUGGGUUUAAAGGGUGCGUAGGCGGAUUGAUAAGUUAGUGGUGAAAUGUCGGAGCUUAACUCGGGAACUGCCUCUAAUACUGUUGGUCUAGAGAGUAGAUGCGGUAGGCGGAAUGUAUGGUGUAGCGGUGAAAUGCUUAGAGAUCAUACAGAACACCGAUUGCGAAGGCAGCUUACCAAUCUAUAUCUGACGUUGAGGCACGAAAGCGUGGGGAGCAAACAGGAUUAGAUACCCUAGUAGUC
This 460-nucleotide ribosomal RNA is filed under the name uncultured bacterium. RNAcentral's name for it is "partial 16S ribosomal RNA". It matches the Rfam family "Bacterial small subunit ribosomal RNA", at positions 338 to 795 of the family's 1533-position model. The record is from RNAcentral.